CAGGUACGCUAGAUCAAGAGCUCAGCGCGGGGGCUCUGAUACAGGCGAGGCUCUGAUGCACAGGUACGCCGGAUCAAUGGCUCAGUGACGGGCGCUCUGAUACAAGCGAGGCUCUGAUACACAGGUAUGCCAGAUCAAGGGCUCCGCGACGGGGGCUCUGAUACACAGGUACGCUAGAUCAAGGGCUCAGCGCGGGGGCUCUGAUACAGGCGAGGCUCUGAUGCAUAGGUAUGCCGGAUCAAGGGCUCAACGCGGAGCCUCUGAUACAGGCGAGGCUCUGAUGCACAGGUACACUAGAUCAAGGGCUCAGUGCGGGGGCUCUGAUACAGGCGAGGCUCUGAUGCACAGGUACGCCGGAUCAAGGGCUCAGCGGCGGGGGCUCUGAUACAGGCAAGGCUCUGAUGCACAGGUACGCCGGAUCAAGGGCUCAGCGCGGGGGCUCUGAUACAGGCGAGGCUCUGAUGCACAGGUACGCCGGAUCAAGGGCUCAGCGCGGGGGCUCUGAUACAGGCGAGGCUCUGAUGCACAGGUACGCCGGAUCAAGGGCUCAGCGCAGGGGCUCUGAUACAGGCGAGGCUCUGAUGCACAGGUACGCCGGAUCAAGGGCUCCGCGACGGGGGCUCUGAUACAGGCGGAAGGUUGCCUGUUCAAAUCUCACAGCAGAGUAAUUUCACUGUUGAGCACUUGAGCAAAGCCCUUAACCUCAAUUGCUCCUGCAAGUGGCUGUCGCUGCUCUCUAUCACUUCCCCAAAUGGUGCCUA
Long non-coding RNA from Brienomyrus brachyistius, 761 nucleotides. RefSeq lists it as uncharacterized. The transcript is spliced from 3 exons. The record is from RefSeq and is a predicted model, not a curated record. Lineage: Eukaryota; Metazoa; Chordata; Actinopteri; Osteoglossiformes; Mormyridae.